This 713-nucleotide small RNA is filed under the name Pan troglodytes (chimpanzee). RNAcentral's name for it is "processed transcript". The record is from RNAcentral. Lineage: Eukaryota; Metazoa; Chordata; Mammalia; Primates; Hominidae.
GCUGGGGGAUGAGAGCUGCACCGCGCGGGACAAGUCGCCGGCGGCGCCCGACGGAGCAGAAGAGAGAGCAUGGAGCUGGAGAGGAUCGUCAGUGCAGCCCUCCUUGCCUUUGUCCAGACACACCUCCCGGAGGCCGACCUCAGUGGCUUGGAUGAGGUCAUCUUCUCCUAUGUGCUUGGGGUCCUGGAGGACCUGGGCCCCUCGGGCCCAUCAGAGGAGAACUUCGAUAUGGAGGCUUUCACUGAGAUGAUGGAGGCCUAUGUGCCUGGCUUCGCCCACAUCCCCAGGGGCACAAUAGGGGACAUGAUGCAGAAGCUCUCAGGGCAGCUGAGCGAUGCCAGGAACAAAGAGAACCUGCAACCGCAGAGCUCUGGUGUCCAAGGUCAGGUGCCCAUCUCCCCAGAGCCCCUGCAGCGGCCCGAAAUGCUCAAAGAAGAGACUCGGUCUUCGGCUGCUGCUGCUGCAGACACCCAAGAUGAGGUACUGGUAGAGGAGGGUACCAAUGAGGGACCCAGGGGGCUGGAAAGGGGGGAGUAUUGCCUCUUGUUAACGUUUGUACCCUUAGGCAACUGGCGCUGAGGAGGAGCUUCUGCCAGGGGUGGAUGUACUCCUGGAGGUGUUCCCUACCUGUUCGGUGGAGCAGGCCCAGUGGGUGCUGGCCAAAGCUCGGGGGGACUUGGAAGAAGCUGUGCAGAUGCUGGUAGAGGGAAAGG